Molecule: transfer RNA, 75 nt
Filed under: bacterium
Lineage: Bacteria
Also listed under: 1 other name
Description: tRNA-Gly
Rfam family: tRNA
About the family: Transfer RNA (tRNA) molecules are approximately 80 nucleotides in length. Their secondary structure includes four short double-helical elements and three loops (D, anti-codon, and T loops). Further hydrogen bonds mediate the characteristic L-shaped molecular structure. tRNAs have two regions of fundamental functional importance: the anti-codon, which is responsible for specific mRNA codon recognition, and the 3' end, to which the tRNAs corresponding amino acid is attached (by aminoacyl-tRNA synthetases). tRNAs cope with the degeneracy of the genetic code in two manners: having more than one tRNA (with a specific anti-codon) for a particular amino acid; and 'wobble' base-pairing, i.e. permitting non-standard base-pairing at the 3rd anti-codon position.
Source: RNAcentral
GCGGGAAUAACUCAGUGGUAGAGUGCUACCUUGCCAAGGUAGACGUCGCGGGUCCGAAUCCCGUUUCCCGCUCCA